Molecule: long non-coding RNA, 799 nt
Organism: Oryza brachyantha (malo sina)
Lineage: Eukaryota; Viridiplantae; Streptophyta; Magnoliopsida; Poales; Poaceae
Exons: 4
Source: RefSeq, a predicted model, not a curated record
CGACAAGGUAAGCACCAUCUUGCUUCCAUGUGAGUUGCUGUAGAGAGGGCACCAUGUGGUUUCUUUGGUGAGGUGGUACUAUGCUGCGGACUGCGGUAUGUUGAAAGAUUUUCCUCAUAAAGCUUUCAGCCUGUCACAGUGGAUGUCCUUUGUCUGUUUGACUGUGGGGGUGUUGUUGCCCGGUGGCCCACCUAGAAGUCACUUUGGUCUAUAGUACGCUUAUACUGUGUCUCUCUAUCUCCCCCUGACAUCCUUGACUUUUGGUGCAUCCCCCUGACAUCCUUGACUUUUGGUGUAUCUCUAUGUCUACUAGGCACAGCCUUAUGUCUCUCUAUGCAGUGUCUGUUUUUAUGGCGAUGUCCAAGGAACGCAUGUAUCGCCUGUGUGCUUGGUACAGCAGCGCGUAAGCGGCCUAUCAAAUCGACAUGCGCGCACUAUGCCACGGUUGAAAGUCUCAAAGCUACUGCGCUGCCUCGGUUGGCUUCUUCGCUUUGUUUUCGUCUUUGCCGCAUUCGCUCUUACACCCAUGGUGAACACUAGGAUGGAUCAUAGCUGCUGUAGUGCUGCCACUGCUUAGGAUCUGCAUCUCGCCUCUAGUGUCCUCUAAACCCUUCUGGUGCGGACACGGAGCACCCCAGGUCGCUCGGGCCAGGUGGUUGGUUUCCAGAUUUUUUGCUCGCCUCUGCUAGCACGUGACCUUCGGUCUUGUGAGGUGUAUAUAUCCACCCUUCUCCUACAAUUUCUGUGUUUAGUUUUGCUUUCGUUUUUUCGCAUAUGCCUUUGUGUUUGCUAUGUGUUU